UGCGAGUUAUAUGAGUGUCUGAAAUUCAGACACACUUAUAUUCUAUUGCGAGCUAUACGGGUGUCCGAAUUUCGGACACUCUUAUAUUAUAUUGCGUGCAAGUUAUAUGGGUGUCUGAAUUUCAGAGAGCGAUAUAACUCGCAAUAGAAUAUAAGAGUGUCUGAAAUUCAGACACCCAUAUAACUCGCAAUAGAAUAUAAGAGUGUCUGAAUUUCAGACACCCAUAUAACUCGCA
Molecule: non-coding RNA, 235 nt
Organism: Paramuricea clavata
Lineage: Eukaryota; Metazoa; Cnidaria; Anthozoa; Malacalcyonacea; Plexauridae
Source: the annotation of a GenBank genome assembly